ACCCAAUAAUACCACUAAUCAGGGUUCUGGAGGUUUUUCUCCCUACCCGCCUCCUACCAUGGAAAUUCCAGCAAUCUUGGCCUCUCCAAAUUCUAUUUAUGUCACCUCAAACAGAGAGACCACUAGACUCCACCUUGGCUCCUCCUCCUUGCAUCAUGAUUAGGAAAACAUUUUCAGGGAAAAAGCCAAGGUGAUCCUAGAGCUCUCCUCAUUGUAUUCUCUUCUUUCUGUGAUCACACUUCUGCAUUUCCCACUAUCCAGUGUAUAAAACCAAUUUUUUAGCCUAUAUUAUCCAGUGUUCUAGUGGCUUACACAGCUGUGCCAGCCCCAGUCAUGCUAUCAUGGUUGGAAAAUUUGUUUUGGAUUAUUCCAAGUAUUUUUUAUUAGUCAUCUUGCAACCCACACUAAGAUUUAAAAAAAUCUAGUAGAAUGAAUGAGAGUUUUCUAACAUUCAUAUAUAAUUCCAUUUCUCAAUUUUAUUACCACUAGGCCUACUGCUUUAUUUGGUCAUUUGUGUUUGUCUUCGUUUUAUUGCGGUAACAUAUAACAUAUCUUUUGUUAAACAAACUAUACUAAUUUUCUAUGAUAAAAUUUCCAUCAUAUCAGCUUCCAGGCUUAAUCCUUUUCAAUUUUUGCAAUUUCUGAAUUAAGUAAAAUCUUCUUAGAUUUGCCUAGUGGGAUUCCCAUUCCCUGCCCCCUAACGUUUCUAGCUAGUUUGAUCCUAUUUCUUCAUGUUUACUUUUCAUACCAGUGUAAGAUGACCCUUUCCUAAAUAUGACACAAAGUCUCAUCAAUGAGCAAUGGCUCUCUCCAUAUGAAAUAGCCUUUUCUAGAGCCUUGCCAUCUCCACUUGCCAAAAUCACAUCUUUAAGGUCAAUCUCAGAUAUUAUAUGUUUCAUGAAGCCUAAAGAAGAUAGAUGUAGGGCACCUUGGUGGCUCAAUUGGUUACACCUUUGGUUCGGGUCAUGAUUCCAGAGUCCUGGGAUCAAGUCCUGUGUUGUGGGGGGGCGGCGGUGGGGAGAAGGUCCCUGCUCAGCAGGAAGUCUGCUUCUCCCUCUGCCCCUUUCCCCCACUCAUGCACAUUCUCUCACUCUCAAUCUCUCUCAAAUAAAUGAAUAAAAUGUUUAAAAAAAUAAGGAAGAUAGAUGUAACUUCCUUCUUCUGGGGCACUGUAAUACCCUCUUAUUUUAUUAACUUUGUGAGCAAUCAGCAUGUGCCAGUUACUUUUCUGAGUCUGACAAUUAUUUUAUCCAAGCCUCAUAAAGUCCUGCUUAGUGAGUGCUGUAAUUAUCCUCAACUUACAAAUGGGAAAACUAAGGCACAGGAAUGAUAAAUAAGUGGUCUAUAGUUGCACUACCUGUCAGCACUGUGCUGCGUUGCUUUACUUCACACAUCCUUACAGUAUCACAGACAUAUUAAACACUGCAUGAAGGUACUGGCUUUGUAAAAUAUGUAGCAAAGACCUUGCAUACAGCAGGCAUGAUACAGUCAGUAUUUGUUCCUGCUCUGGAAGGCAGAAAGAGUGAAAAAUAAUGGUCAUGGAAUGCUAUUCUUUUCUAAAAGUCAAUAUGAUUUGGGGAAAAUGAAUAAAAGCACAAGAAUUAGAAAGUGGGCAGUAAAUAAAAAAUAGAAUGGCUUUGGCUGCCUUGAUAUUUUAUGUUGGGUAAUUGUUUUAUUAAAAUUAAAAAUUGGAAUAGAAAAAUUUAUGAAAAAUUGAGUCAACUGAGAAAAUUCAAUAACUAAUAGUUAUGCAAAUCAUGUUUAAAGUUUACCCUUUUAUCCAAUAAAACUUUAUUUUUAAAAUUAUUAAUUAUUGUUGAGAAAAAUCUUAAAACAUAAGCUUUCUUAUAGCUUUUAAAACAGUGGAUACCAAAAUAUAAUUUAUCCUUUCUCUUGAGUCAUUAGAAACAUUGAUUCCUAAACUAUGCAGUUAUAAGGUCAUGCCUUCAGGAGUUAGCGAGAUCAAUGGAGACAUUUGCUUUAUGGCUGGGCAUGUUGCCUCAUUAAGAACCAUGACACAUUGUUUCCAUUUUUAGCAAUGCUAAUCCAUGCUGUUAAUAGUUAGUGAUGUCAAAUUCACUAAAUCAGGCAACAUAACUUUACACAGAAUUUUAAAAAUAUUCCCUGCCACUAUGGGUGGUUCUAAUUCUAUUAUAAUCUUUUAUGAACUCUGCAGUAUGUUUUUCAAUAAGAAAUUGUUUUCAUUUAUUUCUUAGUGAAUUUGUUUUAACUGCUAGAGUUGUCAGAAUGUGACUUCUACACAAAUAGAGUAUUUACAUAACUAGAAUAAAUUGCCAUCCAAUUUCUCAGUGAAAAUUAUUUGAUCUAUAUAUUGAGGGCAUGGACACAAUUAAGAAACCCAGAUUAGCAAACUUCACCAUUUGAUUAUAUCAAUCUCCAACUAAGAAUAUGAUUUAUUCACUUUUGCAUUCCCUGUGAUGCAGUGUGCUUACUUAAAAUAGUCAAUAAAUGGACAAAGCUACUGAAAGAGAUAAAUAUAAUCAUUAAAGAAAAUUCAUAGAAGUAUAGAAAAUAACUACAUUGGCUCUUCAUACAAAAGACCGAUUUAUAAUAAAGGUUAAAAAUUUAAAAAUCUGUGUAAAAUUAUCAACAAUAUUUUGUAAAAUAAUCACUAUCUAAACUUGGAAAAUAGUUAAGCACAUGAAUUAAACACAUAUUAACCCUAUAUAUGGAUACAGUGUUCAUAACUUCUUCCUCCCCUAUUGGCUUUAUUCCUCAUGGUUGAAUAGUACAUAAUCUUCUUACUCUGAGUUUUUCCCAGUCUUCAGAUUUUGAUUACAGUUUAAAAGAGUCUAACUUUGCACCAAAGGUCUUUUUUACUACCUCUCACUUAAUUUUGGUCUUUUACCUACUUUACAUAAAAUUUAUUAAGAUCUUAAAGAUUACAAGCAGUUUGCUGCAAGUUAAGAAUAAUGGAUGAAUUCUAACUUCUUAAAGCAGUUUGCUGCGAGUUAAGAAUAAUGGAUGAAUUCUCACUUCUUAACUUUUUUUCUUUUUUGGCAAAAUAAAAAAAGGAAGAAGAGACUAAGCAUUAUUCGCUGACAAUUAUGAGAGUACUUGCUCCUUUCUCUUGAAAUGUUCUUAAAUCCCCAUUUUCUCUAACCUCAUCAGGUACCUAGGUCCUAGGCCAGGUAGUAUCAAAUGAAAAAAAGCAGAACUUAUGUGACCCAUAUUUCAUUUCUGACUCCGCUUGCUCUUUGUGUAACUUAGAAUAAGAGGUUUUGUCUAUAUGAGAUUAAUGACCAUGAUGGCUAUGAUACAAAAUUGCCAUGAGACUCAAUAACUCCACGUUUAGAACAAUAUUUUGAAAACUUUAAACAUUAUAAAAUUAAUAAAUAUUAUUUCUGUAGACGAUCCUCCAUAGUAAGAUAUCAUGCCACUUUUCCCAAAACUCAAUUUAAGGGCAGUUAUUGAAAAAAAAAAAAAAAAA
Molecule: long non-coding RNA, 3451 nt
Filed under: Canis lupus familiaris (dog)
Lineage: Eukaryota; Metazoa; Chordata; Mammalia; Carnivora; Canidae
Description: lncRNA (ENSCAFG00000053848.1)
Source: RNAcentral